This 2245-nucleotide ribosomal RNA is filed under the name Hemisquilla californiensis. RNAcentral describes it as "eukaryotic LSU rRNA". It matches the Rfam family "Eukaryotic large subunit ribosomal RNA", at positions 112 to 1838 of the family's 3401-position model. Lineage: Eukaryota; Metazoa; Arthropoda; Malacostraca; Stomatopoda; Hemisquillidae. The record is from RNAcentral.
CGCGGAACCUCGCGCGCCUACACGGCAGCGUCUGAGGGAUGUCGCGUUUCGGAGGGGCCUUCUCCGACCACACCGACCUGCCCUAAGUCCGCUUGAAGGCGGCCACUACCCAUGGAGGGUGCGAGGCCCGUACGGGGAUACUUUGGUCGGGCGGUCGGACGGCCCCGUCCGUAGAGUCGGGUUGCCUACUAACGCAGCCCAAAGCAGGUGGUAAACUCCAUCUAAGGCUAAAUAUGACCACGAGACCGAUAGCGAACAAGUACCGUGAGGGAAAGUUGAAAAGAACUUUGAAGAGAGAGUUCAAUAGUGCGUGAAACCGUUAAGAGGAAAACGGGUGGAAGCUCGAAGGUCGAACGGGGGGAUUCAGUCUGACUGUGUCGGAGGGCUGGUGGUGGUUUUGAGCCUUUGAUUUUUGAUCGGGGGCUCGGGCCCCAUUGGCCCGUUGUUGACGCGGACGGGCGUAUUUGCCCCUUAGUAGGACGCCGCGACCCGUUGGUGGGUUUGCCGAAGGCCCGGGUGUGGGUGGAACCAUCGUCUGUUGAUGGGGACCCCCCGGUGUCCUUUGCGAGCCUGCGACGGUGUGGAGUGCAAGUGCCCGCCCCCCUCUUUUGGGGGGGGCGCCCCUGGAGCAGGAGCAUCAGCACUUGUUGUUGUUGUUGUUGUUGUAUGGGCAGCGGCGGUUUUGUGCGGCGUGUAGUCGGUGAUCCNCUUGACCCGUCUUGGAGCACGGACCAAGGAGUCUAACAUGUGUGCAAGUCAUUGGGCUUGCUAAACCCAAAGGCGCAAUGAAAGUGAAAGGCCGCCCAUUUAGGCGGCCCGAGGGCUGAUCCUUUUUGGCGCAAGCUCGGGACUCACACGUCCCAUCGUGGUCGGUGAGUACCAAGAGCAGACAUGUUGGGACCCGAAAGAUGGUGAACUAUGCCUGGCCAGGACGAAGCCAGAGGAAACUCUGGUGGAGGUCCGUAGCGAUUCUGACGUGCAAAUCGAUCGUCGGAGCUGGGUAUAGGGGCGAAAGACUAAUCGAACCGUCUAGUAGCUGGUUCCCUCCGAAGUUUCCCUCAGGAUAGCUGGUGCUCUUUACAGAUUUUCAUCCGGUAAAGCGAAUGAUUAGAGGUCUUGGGGACGAAACGUCCUCAACCUAUUCUCAAACUUGAAAUGGGUGAGAGGUCGGGCUUGCUUGACUGAAGCCCCGACGGAGAAUCUGGAGUACCUAGUGGGCCAUUUUUGGUAAGCAGAACUGGCGCUGUGGGAUGAACCAAACGUUGAGUUAAGGGGCCUAAAUGGACGCUCAUCAGAUGCCAUGAAAGGUGUUGGUUGCUAUAGACAGCAGGACGGUGGCCAUGGAAGUCGGAAUCCGCUAAGGAGUGUGUAACAACUCACCUGCCGAAGCAACUAGCCCUGAAAAUGGAUGGCGCUCAAGCGUCCUCCCGAUACUCGACCGUCGGGGCAGUAGCGGCCUGCCAGGGUCUCGAAGCCCCGACGAGUAGGAGGGUGUUGGCGGUGUGCGUCGAAGGAGUCCGGCGUGAGCCGGUCUGGAGCCGCCGCUGGUGCAGAUCUUGGUGGUAGUAGCAAAUACUCGAGCGAGACCCUUGAGGGCUGAAGUGGAGAAGGGUUCCAUGUGAACAUCAGUUGAACAUGGUGCAGUCGAUCCUAAGCCCAAGGAGAAAUCCGCCUUCCACAGUCCCGCCGUGCCGACGACGACAAGGAAGGUGUGUGGUGUGUGUUGGGAGUGUGGUGAUGACGACGACGACGACGACGACCACCACCACCCAGCACGGGUCGUCGUUGUGUCGAUCGCUCGAUCAGGUCCGUCUAGCAGAAGCACCACCGCCAGCACCACCACCCCGGUGGCGGCGGAGCGGGCUGUUGUUGUUGUUGUUUUUGUUGUUGGUGGUGACGACGACGACGACGACGACGACGGCCCGGCCGCUGCUCGGGCGCGCGGUCAAUGCGGCCGGGAGGUUGUGGGCGAAAGGGAAUCCGGUUCUUAUUCCGGAACCGCCCCCCGGAUAAGGUUUUACCCCUCGCCUAAAGGUACUCCUGGCAACAGGAGAAAACCCGCUGCUGCCGGCCGCGGUCCAGGGAAGAGUUUUCUUUUCUGCUUAAGAGGUUUUGGCCCUGGAAGCUACUUGCAAGGCGAUAGGGUCUUUUUAGCCGUAGAGCGUGGCAGUUGUUGCGGCGUCCUGAGUACCGUGAUCUUUUGCCGGUCCAUGAAGCAGCGGGGGAAGGGGUGGAAUUUUCGGGG